Molecule: long non-coding RNA, 1363 nt
Organism: Chelonus insularis
Lineage: Eukaryota; Metazoa; Arthropoda; Insecta; Hymenoptera; Braconidae
Exons: 3
Source: RefSeq, a predicted model, not a curated record
UGUGAUUAUUUUCUUUGAAAUCGUUUUUAUUUAAUUUGUUAUUAGUUUAUUAUUAUUUCUUUGAAAUUGUUGAAGUUAUACAAAAAUUUACUUUGUCAAAAGAAAUCAAAUGUGUUCUCUCUCAGUUAAAUUCUAACCUCAAUAAACAUCAGAUUUUUAUUUGAUUUUUAAUCAAAUUAAACUUUAAGUUUAAUAUGAAAUACUAUCAGUGAAGUUGAUGUUAUUGCGAAUAUUAUUUUGUUGCUAAAGGUUAGAAAAUUCUAAAUCGUUUACAUUUAAAAAGUGCUGAUGUUGCUGAUAAAGAUGCAUGGUUUUGGGUUGAAACAAUUUUACCGGAAAGUAUUGAAAGAGAACACUUAGAAUUUUAAUAUAGAGUGAAUUUAAAUAUAUGAAAACAUUGUAAGAGGAAUUACAGUUAUAAUCCAAAAUGUUUGGUUGGCUUAGGCGAAGAAAAAUAUUUAAAAUCACAGCCAAUCAAAGUGGCUUCUCUUGACAGUUCUCUUUCAGAACUUAGAGAUCCAAUUCAAUAUGUAGGCCUGAAAAAUUUGGGUGCUACUUGAUAUAUUAAUAGUUUAAUUCAAGUUUGGUUUCAUAAUGAAGAUAUGAGGCAAAUUAUAUACAAAUGAAAAAUGAUGGAAGAUCCAGAAGAAAAUGCACGCACAAAGUGCAUACCAGCUACAGCUGCUGAAUUACUUUUUACAAAAUAUAACGGUGGUCCAAGACUCGACAAUAAUUCAUUAUGCGAAAUUUGUGUUAAAAAAACGAUGUAAGAUAUUUAAAUUUGAGUCAGAACUAGACAAAAAUCGAAAAGAAGUUACAAAAAUAAUGAGACGGGCGAGAGAUUGUACAGUAAAUUGUUAUAUCGUUGGUGCUGCUUUGAUAAAAUAUUGGCCUAGACUUGUUGUAGAAAAUAUGGAACUUAAAGAUUCACAUCAAGAUUAUAAUGAUUUUGAAGUUCGUAGAACUGGAAAUAGAAUAAAAGUGCUACAUGGAGUAUUUUGAAAAAAUACUUUCCUUUGGCUAUGGAAUAUUCUAUUGGUACUCCAUCCUGUGAAAUUUGUGAAGAAAAUGAAAGGAAAAGAAAUGAAAAAAGAGAACUUAAGAAGAUUUUUCAAAUUUUCAUUAUAUCUGAAUUUCUGUGAUUACAUCAGAAGACAAAAGUCAUAUGAAGCUUGUACAUUUUUAAUUUAAAUAUUGUUAUAAAAAAAUUAUGAUAAGAGUUCAACAUGCGAUAUCAAUGCAUUUUUCUUCAAACUUGACAAAUGGUUGUAUUUAUAAAAAUGUCGCAUAGUGUCGCAUUUAUCCAAGAUGUAAUCUGUUAUGUCACGCAUUGUCUUCCAUAAAAUACUACCGAUUUACAUUA